UAUUGUUGGAGGUUCAUCCAAGACUCCUCAGUUCUUUCUACUGCUGUCUACUUUGGACCAUAUUGCUAACGAUAAACUGCUGUGAACGUGUCUGUCAGAGACUGUGCGGGCUAAGAGAGAGAAGAGGAAAGAAAUCAGUCCCAUUUACAAUUAAUCAGCAGCUCCAAUGGGCGAAGCCUAGAGAUGAAGUAGAUGACCAUCCUUGAUUGGCUACAUGUGGAGAGGAAGCAGAGUUGUGCGUGAGAAGGAGAGCAAAGAUGAUGACCAGGAAGGAGUUCUUUUAAGAAGCCACGUUAUUCAUUCAGUCUGAGGUCCUGAUAAAGACCACGAUGCUGCCACAGAAAACUAACCAGGAGAAUUCCGGAGGGGCCGAAAGGAGGGAGGACACGCCAGCCCAUAGUAUGUCUUAUAAAACUAACCUGGAAGCAUUUGGGAGAGGCCAAAAGGAGGAGGGAGAAGACCAUAUGUCCUGCCAACCUCCCAGAAACCCUCAGGAAUCCAUCUUGGCUGAGAGAUGCACGUGCCACCAGGAAGAACCCUGAGUCAGAUGGCCAGAGACAACACAGAAACUUACCCCAUUACCAUAAAAUCUGAGACUGUGAGCCACGUGGCAGAGCAGUUCUCCUGGGUUCCCUUACCCUGCUGCUCUCUGCCCGGUACCCCUUCCCAGUAAAGUCUUUUGCUUUGUCAGUACGUGUGUCUCCUUGGACAAUUCAU
Molecule: non-coding RNA, 717 nt
Organism: Kogia breviceps (pygmy sperm whale)
Lineage: Eukaryota; Metazoa; Chordata; Mammalia; Artiodactyla; Physeteridae
Source: RefSeq, a predicted model, not a curated record